UUAUGAGAGUUUGAUCCUGGCUCAGGACGAACGCUGGCGGCGUGCCUAAUACAUGCAAGUCGAACGCUUCUUUUUCCACCGGAGCUUGCUCCACCGGAAAAAGAGGAGUGGCGAACGGGUGAGUAACACGUGGGUAACCUGCCCAUCAGAAGGGGAUAACACUUGGAAACAGGUGCUAAUACCGUAUAACAAUCGAAACCGCAUGGUUUUGAUUUGAAAGGCGCUUUCGGGUGUCACUGAUGGAUGGACCCGCGGUGCAUUAGCUAGUUGGUGAGGUAACGGCUCACCAAGGCCACGAUGCAUAGCCGACCUGAGAGGGUGAUCGGCCACAUUGGGACUGAGACACGGCCCAAACUCCUACGGGAGGCAGCAGUAGGGAAUCUUCGGCAAUGGACGAAAGUCUGACCGAGCAACGCCGCGUGAGUGAAGAAGGUUUUCGGAUCGUAAAACUCUGUUGUUAGAGAAGAACAAGGAUGAGAGUAACUGUUCAUCCCUUGACGGUAUCUAACCAGAAAGCCACGGCUAACUACGUGCCAGCAGCCGCGGUAAUACGUAGGUGGCAAGCGUUGUCCGGAUUUAUUGGGCGUAAAGCGAGCGCAGGCGGUUUCUUAAGUCUGAUGUGAAAGCCCCCGGCUCAACCGGGGAGGGUCAUUGGAAACUGGGAGACUUGAGUGCAGAAGAGGAGAGUGGAAUUCCAUGUGUAGCGGUGAAAUGCGUAGAUAUAUGGAGGAACACCAGUGGCGAAGGCGGCUCUCUGGUCUGUAACUGACGCUGAGGCUCGAAAGCGUGGGGAGCAAACAGGAUUAGAUACCCUGGUAGUCCACGCCGUAAACGAUGAGUGCUAAGUGUUGGAGGGUUUCCGCCCUUCAGUGCUGCAGCUAACGCAUUAAGCACUCCGCCUGGGGAGUACGACCGCAAGGUUGAAACUCAAAGGAAUUGACGGGGGCCCGCACAAGCGGUGGAGCAUGUGGUUUAAUUCGAAGCAACGCGAAGAACCUUACCAGGUCUUGACAUCCUUUGACCACUCUAGAGAUAGAGCUUCCCCUUCGGGGGCAAAGUGACAGGUGGUGCAUGGUUGUCGUCAGCUCGUGUCGUGAGAUGUUGGGUUAAGUCCCGCAACGAGCGCAACCCUUAUUGUUAGUUGCCAUCAUUCAGUUGGGCACUCUAGCAAGACUGCCGGUGACAAACCGGAGGAAGGUGGGGAUGACGUCAAAUCAUCAUGCCCCUUAUGACCUGGGCUACACACGUGCUACAAUGGGAAGUACAACGAGUCGCGAAGUCGCGAGGCUAAGCUAAUCUCUUAAAGCUUCUCUCAGUUCGGAUUGCAGGCUGCAACUCGCCUGCAUGAAGCCGGAAUCGCUAGUAAUCGCGGAUCAGCACGCCGCGGUGAAUACGUUCCCGGGCCUUGUACACACCGCCCGUCACAUUUGUUUGAGCAAUGGAGGGACGCAGGAGGCUAAGGAAUGCAGACGAUCGGAAAUGUCUGUCCAAGCAGUAAUUGGGGUGAAGUCGUAACAAGGUAGCCGUAUCGGAAGGUGCGGCUGGAUCACCUCCUUU
RNAcentral lists this ribosomal RNA (1557 nucleotides) under Enterococcus faecium. Its description in RNAcentral is "bacterial SSU rRNA". It matches the Rfam family "Bacterial small subunit ribosomal RNA". Lineage: Bacteria; Bacillati; Bacillota; Bacilli; Lactobacillales; Enterococcaceae. The record is from RNAcentral.